Molecule: long non-coding RNA, 415 nt
Organism: Alosa sapidissima (American shad)
Lineage: Eukaryota; Metazoa; Chordata; Actinopteri; Clupeiformes; Clupeidae
Exons: 2
Source: RefSeq, a predicted model, not a curated record
AAACUUAAAAUGAAGAACAUUUUCGACAUAAACAAAUUAAGUUUGCUACUUGUACAUGUAUAGGUGAGUUGACAACUUAUUUUAAGGAGUUUGUCAUACUGAAAAAGAAAGAAAGAUGUCAACUUAUUAAUAUAUGGAUUUUCAACACACAGUCUUGCUUUCACCUAACAAUAGAAAGUAUUAAGUUCCUGAAACUUGUAAAUCUCGUGACCAAACUUAUAAAGCUGAUAACACGACUGAACGUUCAGGACCUUCCAGACCACGCCUGAGAAGUAACAGAAAUGAUGGCACAGGAUCCUGUAGCCUGCAUCGAACAUCAAAGAUAAAUGACGAAUUCAGACGGAUCUCUACAUUCAUUCAUUGCACAACUGGACCAGUUGCCAUUGCUUUAAAAAUAAACAAUGCUUUCAGAAAA